Molecule: unclassified non-coding RNA, 384 nt
Filed under: soil metagenome
Description: partial contains 5.8S ribosomal RNA, internal transcribed spacer 2, and large subunit ribosomal RNA
Rfam family: 5.8S ribosomal RNA (bases 1-120)
Source: RNAcentral
GAUGAAGAACGUAGCGAAAUGCGAUAAGUAAUGUGAAUUGCAGAAUUCAGUGAAUCAUCGAAUCUUUGAACGCACCUUGCACCCUUUGGCAUUCCGAAGGGUAUGCUCGUUUGAGUGUCAUUGUACUCUCACACUUCCAAUUCUUUGGAUUGGGAGCGGUGGACUUGGGUGUUGCUGCUUUAGUUGUGGCUCACCUCAAAUAAGUUAGUGCAACUCUUGGUUGGACAUAGUACGGCGUGAUAAGUGUCUUCGCCGGCGCCUCUGUAAGGAGGGUGGCCGAUCGGGAGCUCUGUGCUUCAAACCGUCUUCGGACAAUCUUUGACAACUUGACCUCAAAUCGAGUAGGACUACCCGCUGAACUUAAGCAUAUCAAUAAGCGGAGGA